Ochlerotatus camptorhynchus is the source of this 5113-nucleotide RNA transcript. It is a transcript of the gene named calcium-activated chloride channel regulator 2-like, with no coding region annotated. The transcript has 4 exons. Lineage: Eukaryota; Metazoa; Arthropoda; Insecta; Diptera; Culicidae. The record is from RefSeq and is a predicted model, not a curated record.
AUUCGGUCCGAGAGAAGCAUACUGUAUAGAAAGUUAGUCACAGGUCGAUCGGGAAAGUGCUAGAGCAUCUGCUGUUGUGGAGAGCAUUUAAAACAUAAAAAACCGGAUCGGUUGAAGAAGAGCUCGGUCGGUUGGUGUGGUUAGGUCCAGUGUGUACCGCAGACAAGCAUUGGAAGUUACGACACCUGGAAAGUGGAAGACGCGCGGAGCGCAGUCGGGUUGUAAAAACUCGUGAAACUUGAGAGCCCCCGUCCACCGUACGGACUGAACGCGAAGGGGAAUUGUUCAAGAGUGUACCUUACCGGUCGUUGGUGUUGUUGUUGUUGUUGUUGUUGUGGUGGUGUACUGUUUGGGGCUUUUUUGUUUGUUUGGUUUGGUUUUUCGGUUGGUUGCGGGUCAGCAGUCAGCAUAACAAGUGCCCAUUCUAGAUGAGCGGAGAAGCACACGGUUUGGUUGUAGAAGCUCGGUUACUCGACGCAAAGUGUUCUUGUAUCGCAUUCUGAUGUACAAUUGGUUUUUGUGAGGGAAUUUUUCGACCAACGAAAAAAAAGCGCAGUGCUUGAUACAAGAAAUGUGCCACUUUCGAGCAGAGAGGAUUUUCCCGUUAUUGAAAGAUCGAUUGGCAGGAUCCUAGGCCCGUGCGAAACGAAAUCCGUUGAAAUUCUCGACAUACUGGUGCUGAUUCAGUAACGAAGAUAGUGCAAACACGUUGGAGGGGAUUGACACACACACAAAAAAACCAAGUGACAUUCGAACAUGACUGCGGCAGCAGCAGCAGCAGUGUAGGCCCAUUUCGGGUGAUAAAUACGGUGCGCUUUGCAUACAGAUUAGUGCAGUGCUCUAAAGCUCGCAUGCCAAAUUGAAAACAUCGAACAUAAACAGGACAACAGUGGCAAUAGUGCAAGUUGACGCAAACACACGGCGAAACGAAAAAAAAUACGAGAAAUAAGCGCAGAAUGCUGCAAACAACAAUAUUCAUCAAAGUGCUGGCGGUGGCGCUGAGUGCGCUGGCAGUUGAACCGGUGUCCGCGGCCACCGCUACCAGCGCGGUCUACGUGGAAAAAUCCGCGUACAAAAAUGUCGUCAUCGAGAUAAGGGAUAACGUACCGGUGGAAAAUUGCCAAACCAUUCUGCACAAUGUGGAGAUUAUGCUUACCUCAGCUUCGCAGUACCUUUUCUCGGCCCUCGAUGGCCGGGUCUACUUCGGAGACAUUACGGUAAUUCUGCCGCCGCACUGGCCUAACUCGUGCAUCCCUUACAACCAAACUCGUACCUCGGCCAGCGGAGAGCGCAGCGACGUGACAAUUAAAACCCACUCCAAGACCGAGUCCCCCAUCUGGACCAAACAGUACGCCGGCUGUGGAGAGCCCGGUGAGCAGAUUUUCAUCGAAUCGGACAUUCUCGGUAGGGAUACAAUUGGGCGGGAGUUUGUUCGGGAAUGGGCCAAGUAUCGGUAUGGAGUGUUCGAUGAAAUCGGAUUCACCAAAGAUCCUGUCUAUCCACGGUGCUACAUCAACGAUGACCAUGAGCUUAAGCUGACCGGGUGUUCGGACGCCCCGGUUCACGAUCGGGGCCUUUGCGGCAAUCCUUCUUCGUACAACAUCAGUGAAAUCAUCGAUCGGAACGCUCGCUCCAGUAUAAUGUUCGCCGUCGAAUCUCCCAGUGUGACGAUGUUCUGCGACGAAGGCACCCACAACCGGUACGCUCCAACCAAGCACAACCAACUGUGCGAUCGCCGCAGCACUUUGGACGUCAUCCUCAAAAACGCGGACUUCAUCAUGGAGAACAAGAUCAACGUCAACCCGUCAAUAAUCGUAAACACAGCCCCAAAAUUUAACUACAAAACCCGGAAAUCCACCCGCUACGUCAUCAUCAUCGACGAAACCCUGGACAUGCAACUACGCGAAUCGUGGAGCUUCCUUCGUUCGGCCGUUCGAAAAUGGGUUGUCUACGACCUCCCGGCCAACACAGAAGUCGGCAUGGUCCUCGCCAACGACACCGCCACCGAAAAGAUGCUCCAAAUCUCGCCCCUCUACAUCCAAGAAAACAAAGACCUCGUUGCAUCCUUCAUCCCGUACUCGCCCAGCGAUUCCCGCCAACCGGCUUGUCUAACCUGUGCCGUCUCCGACGCCAUCCACAUGCUCAACGAACGCACCCGCAUGAACGGUCCGGCCAACUCGAUCAUCCUCGUAAUUGCCCCCGGUAUGGAAUACUCUAUCGAUCACAGCUCCCUGGCAAACUCUGCCUCCACCUCCCAUAUCCGCAUCAGCUCCAUAAACUAUCCGAACGUCAUCCGUCGGCAGCCUCUGGACUCUCUAGCCCUCGCCACCGGAGGAACCGCCCACUCCGUCUUCGAAAGCAAAUACAACCUGGAGAAGAGCUAUGUCACCACGUACUUCGAACUGUCCAACACUCUGUUCAACAUCGGCAAACAGUACUACGAAGGCAACCGGAACGAUCUGCCGAUCGAAAUUUACCGCAAAGAGCUCGUCGAACUGGACGACAACGACGCCAGCCACAUGCUGUCGAAGCGGACCAGCCGUACGGUCGCCGGGAGCUUCACCCUGGACUCGUUCAUGGGACCUCCGGCGUACUUUUUCGUGUACGUUCACAACACGGAGAACCCGCUGAUUGCGGGCAUGAAGCUGACAAGCCCGAGCGGUAUCGUUUACUCGUCUAGAAGUGACGCUAGAUCAUUGGUUAAGCAGUUGAUGGUGUCCGCUACGCUCAACGAAACUGGAAGCUGGACGUACAAGAUCGAUCGGUUCAAUGGAAAUCCUCAGUCGCACUACGUGCAGGUCAUUGCCACGCCUCGGUCCAAGUACGCUCCGACCAUUCAGGCUCGAUCGUGGAUUCGGCAGCGAAGCGGAAGUCCUCCUGUUAUCUACGCCGAGGUGAAGAAGGGCGAUCUGCCGAUUAUAGCCGCGAAGGUUGAAGUCACGGUGACGCGGCCCGAUGGAAUCUGCCCGGCAGGAAGUGGCAACGAAUGUCGGCAGAAGAUCAAGCUUUUAGAUUCUGGAUCAGGUGAUCCGGACAUCACGCGAAACGAUGGUAUUUAUUCGAGGUAUUUCAACGCUGAUGACUUUGGGGGAGCCGGAGCUUAUCAGUUCGAGGUCACCAUCACGGAUAACGAAAAUAUGGCAUACACGCGGUCGGAGAGUGUGCUGAAGGGUGCUCCGCCGAGAUGCUGCGGAAGUUCGAUCCGGACGACGUUGAUGGCGUCGAUGGUUGCGUUCCAAAGAACUCUUCAACCGAUAACCGUGUUUCUGUCGCAGGAAUUCCUUGACUCGGUUGGUCAUCGUCCGAUGGGUAAGAUCAGUGACCUGACGGUAGACGUCGAAGGAAUGAGGGUUCGAUUGAACUGGACUACUCCGGACAUGGGAGGUCGAGGAAUUGCUCGGUACGAAAUCAAAUACGCUACGUCGAUUCGCGAUAUCGUUGACUACUAUGACACGGCAGCUUUUCUGUGGCAUCAUGAUACGCCGCUGAUCAACCCGAUCGGAGAGGAGAGCUCUUUUACGAUGAACCUAUCCCAUGAAUCUCACCUGAUUGGGCAGGUUCUAUACUUUUCCGUCCGGGCGCAUGCGUUAGGAAUCAUGGGUGGAUCCGUUUCGAACUACGUUCGAGUUUUUGUACCGAAACCGAAGCGCGCAACAUCCCUGUCUCCAUCUACCUCCAUCGGAACGGAAAGCUACGAAAAUGUGUGGUCGUCCUACGACGAGAUCCGAGAUGGCCACAAUCGACGUGUGAAUAUCCAUCAAAGAAUCGCCGACACCAUCAGUUUGGAAGUCGAAGUUCUACUGGCGAUCAUCGCUGGCACUGUAUUCUUGAUCAUCAUAAUCCUCAUUUGCUGCUAUUACUACUUCCUAAGAAAACGUAACGUCACACAGGAAGACGACCAAAAACGACCCAUCAAACCCUUUCCCACCGAAACAAAGACCUCCCUCGGACACAGCGUAUUUGUCACCCCUGGGAACGUGACUUCCUCCUCGUCGAAUGCUACCAGUUCAACCUCCGCCUCACCGGAUUACGCCCAGCAAACCAACGUCUCCACCAAUAUUCCCACGAUCUACAACUCUAGAACGCUCCCCAUCGAACAGAAGCUCAUCAACGAACUUAAGCAGCAACAGCAGAUGGCCGAUACUCAAUCCUACAUCCUUACUCAGGCGACCGACAACAUGCAGUACAAUACCACGCUAACCCGAAGCUUUAACCCGGGACCAACGAUCAACGACAACCGAACGCUGAGCCCCUUUGAGUCAUGGUCCGCUUCGCAACUGCUGCAGGAACACGAACAACACCAACGGCGACGAAGUCCGAGCCUGCUUGACAACUACCUGGAUAACGAUGUCCAGCAGUUCUACGUAAGCCAACACGAUCAAAUGUCCCUGCUGAACGGCGGCGGCGUUGGCGUCGUCGGUCACAACCCGCACAACGUUGGCCACAAUCCACCGGUGCCUCCGCCACCCAUCUACUCGACCGCAAACCCUCCGUAUUUCUACGAACAGCACCCACAGCAGCUUCAGCAUCAACAGCCACCACCGCAGCAGCAGCAACAGCAGCAGCAGCAACAGCAGCAGCAGUACGUCCACGAUGGUAUGAACCCUAUGACGACACCCCUACACGUUACCAUAACGUAAUAGACGGGCAGGCACCGUAGCAAAUGUGUACCUAAGAUGUUAAGCCAGAGAGAUGCUUCGCCGAAGUCUACUGCAAAAAGUGCGAUUGGUCGAUUAUUCGGGAGGCUGCCUGUGGAGCAUGCGUGGUGGCUGUGAAUAGGAGCGAUGUUUUAAAGUAGACGAAUUCAAUAAAAAGAGUUUUGAUUGCCAGAAAGACUGAUUUCAUGCUAAGGGCAUUUUUACGGAUAAGUUAUGAGAGUUUGCACCGUGCCGGAAUUGAUCUCCAACGCGAGCGAUUGUGGAACGUUGAACCGGAUAGUUUGAGUUUUCCAUCGCCCCGUAAUAGAAUUUUAAUUAAAUGUGUUCGCAGAAGUCGCGAGAUGCGCCCAGCUCAGAACUAAGGAAUUUGAUUGACGUUGCUAGUCCCUUGAUUCAAAGUGUUAAACUGCAAGUUGCUUUGGGUCGUUCGAUUUUUGUACAUCCACUAUAGCCGG